GUGCUCACGUCAGCAGCACAUAUACUAAACUGGAAUGAUACAGAGAAGAUUAGCAUGGCCCCUGCACAAGGAUGACACACAAAUUCAUGAAGCAUUCUGUAUUUUU
Small nuclear RNA from Cavia porcellus (domestic guinea pig), 106 nucleotides. NCBI's taxonomy places the organism in Eukaryota, Metazoa, Chordata, Mammalia, Rodentia, Caviidae. The record is from Ensembl.